This 390-nucleotide ribosomal RNA is filed under the name uncultured bacterium. RNAcentral describes it as "bacterial SSU rRNA". It matches the Rfam family "Bacterial small subunit ribosomal RNA", at positions 30 to 422 of the family's 1533-position model. The record is from RNAcentral.
AUUGAACGCUGGCGGCAUGCCUUACACAUGCAAGUCGAACGGCAGCGCGGGGCAACCUGGCGGCGAGUGGCGAACGGGUGAGUAAUAUAUCGGAACAUACCCUAGAGUGGGGGAUAACGUAGCGAAAGUUACGCUAAUACCGCAUACGCACUAAGGUGGAAAGUGGGGGACUCGCAAGAACCUCAUGCUCAUGGAGUGGCCGAUAUCUGAUUAGCUAGUUGGUGAGGUAAAGGCUCACCAAGGCGACGAUCCUUAGCUGGUCUGAGAGGAUGAUCAGCCACACUGGGACUGAGACAGGCCCAGACUCCUACGGAGGCAGCAGUGGGGAAUAUUGGACAAUGGGCGAAAGCCUGAUCCAGCAAUGCCGCGUGAGUGAUGAAGGCCUUCGGG